CAGUCCUAGAAGAAAGAGAGACAUCUCAGAUCAGUGAGUGACUCAGGCAGGCCUCUCACAGUGCUGCUGGUCUGUCCUGCAUGGCCCCAGGAGCUCCCUCCCACCUCCAAAGCCAGCAGCCUCCACAGCUUCUGGGAGGUGCACCCUGACCAUCUCACACUGACAUUGCUGAAAUCCAACAGCACAGGCUAUAACAGUGCCCAGCCUUUUUCCACCACUGUUUCCCAUUCUGGUCUCUCCUCCAUCUAAUAAAUGGUGAUGCAAAUCAAAAGCCUAAAAGCAGGCUAGGGGCUGACCCUGACAAACACAACCUGGAAGAGGCUCAAACAGAGAAGGAAAUAAUUCUGCAGCGAGGCAGCGAGCAAGAUGUGGGGGAGCAUAAGUAGAGAAUGAGAGGGGAGGGGAAAAGGGAGGAGAGGUGACAUAUCUUACUUCUGGAGCAGAUUUACACUAAUUUGGAAUUAAAAGAACUUAAAGACUUCAAGGCCAGUGGUCCAUCUUUACUAGAAAUGCUGGUAAUCCCUGGGACUGGCACAUAGCUACAGACAGAGACAGAGAAGCAACUAACAGUGAUCCUGCCUGCUGACUCUUAUGUACACUGCAGUAGAGACCAUCCUGAUUUCCACUUGCCAUCACUGUAAUUCUGAGGGCAUUUGGAAAUCACUGAAGUUUGGUGCUCAGAUUUAAUGCUUCAAGGAUGUUAAAUACUUAGAAAUUAUUAACAUGAUCAAUUCUGAGAAAUCAGGGACUCUGAGUAUGUAUCUGUGCACAUAAUAGAAAGAAAAAAAAACCCAGAAUAGAGAUGGUUUUACUACUGAAAACAAAUGCAAAGAUUUUAAAUGAACACAAAGUAUAAUUUUUCAGCUUUCACAGCUCAAGUUUAAAUCCUCAAAUUUUACAAUAAUGAAAUAAGACUAAAAAUGGGUUUUAAAUUAAGCUUUAAAACUGGAAUGUUAGUUUAGAGGGGUCUUAAUGAAAGUAUCUGCCAAAGCAAUUUUCUGUGUGUUGCUACAUAUUAUAUAAUGAUUUUAUAGCAAUUUAUACAAGAUUUAAAAUUAGAAUUUGCCAAUUUCAGACGCCUUGCAGAUGUGCCAAGUGUUUGUAUCUUUUUCCUUCUCCAAAACUGAACUCCCUUUCUGCAAGGAGAAAGCCUGCCUUGUCAGUGGAUUCCAGUUUCAGAAUGGGGCUCCAGUGAUCUGCAAAAGGGCUUCAGCUCCUCCACAGAAAUCAAGUGAUUGCACAUGGAAGAGAUGACACAGAAAAGCUGCAGUUUCCAACCUGAGCACUGACUGUGCAUGGCCAGCAGGUCCAGGCGUGGUUGGAGCACCAGAUAUGACGUGGACUAUGUCUGAGAGAAGCUGUGGGCAAGUUAGCACCUGCACUGCUAGACUUGAACUAACCUAAGAAAUCUCCCUGGGAAAGAAUAUGGAGUGCGUCCUGCUAGUCAUCAGCAUCUGGGAGCACAGCAACACUUGGCAUUCAUGAUGCCUCUGGAACCUUCUGUCCCAACCUAAAGCAACCAGCACCUUAAAAACACUCACAGCCUUCCUUAUGCUUCUGUACAUCAGGAAUAUUGCAGCAACUCCCUUUUCUAAGCUUUGAUUCCAUCAUUCUUUAAACAUAUCAAUAAACUCCCAUGUCUGUUUGUUCUCUGACUGGAGUAUGGCUUCUAAUAGCAAGUCUCCUAAAUACAGCAUCCUCCCAGUUAUCUAGAACUCCAUGUGCUCUGUGAUUCCCAUUAGAUAGGAAAUGGACACAAGCUGCAACUUCAAUCAUUCACCUUUUCAACUGAGUCUAUUUUUUUCUGAGUCUCACUUAGCAGAAAUGGGCUCUCUGAGUAAUGCACCAGUCCCAGGGCUCCCUCCCAAGGGGGACUUCCAAACAUUUAUAGUCACUGAGAUGGAAAAUCAAACCUCUGACUCCAGCUGACACCAGCUUCCAUCAGCUUCCAUUACACUAAAUAAAAACUAUCUUCUGAGUGCCCCAGCAAGUGGGACAGGCCAUUUCCCACACUGCCAGGCCUGGAAAACAGCAUGUGCACAAACUGAGAAGAAAAGCCUCAUUAGUAUUAAUAUUUACAUUGCAGCCAUGCCCAGGGGCCCUGGCUGGGGUGAGGGUCUUGCUGUGUUUGGUGCUGCAGGAGAUGAAGGUGCAAGCCCUGCUCUGGGGAGCUGCCCAUCAUCACUCAGCUGCUCCCGAGGUGAUAUCCUGUCCCUUCCCCCAUGAAAGGCUGAGCAUUUCCAUUUCCCACCUGCCUCCUGGUCCUGCACACCCUGAUACUUUUGCAUUUCUGAAAUCAUUGUGACUUUUAUGGUUGUGGAUAUAAGACAAGGCUCUCUAUGUCCUCUGUAACCAACUUUUGCAUUGCAGUGACCAGCAAAGAGAAGUGUCCUGGGUGGGGACCAGUGGCUGGUGUAGGGGAGAAAGGGAUCCAGAAGCCCAGCAGACUGGAUGGAGAGG
Molecule: long non-coding RNA, 2460 nt
Organism: Parus major (Great Tit)
Lineage: Eukaryota; Metazoa; Chordata; Aves; Passeriformes; Paridae
Exons: 3
Source: RefSeq, a predicted model, not a curated record